AGCAGCCGCGGUAAUUCCAGCUCCAAUAGCGUAUAUUAAAGUUGUUGCAGUUAAAAAGCUCGUAGUUGAAUUUCGGGGUUAGUAGGUUGGUCAUGCCUCUGGUAUGUACUGGUCUCACUGAUUCCUCCUUCCUGAUGAGCCGUAAUGCCAUUAAUUUGGUGUUGCGGGGAAUCAGGACUGUUACUUUGAAAAAUUAGAGUGUUUAAAGCAGGCUCACGCUUGAAUACAUUAGCAUGGAAUAAUGAAAUAGGACGUUUGAUUCUAUUUUGUUGGUUUCUAGGAUCGACGUAAUGAUUAAUAGGGAUAGUUGGGGGCAUUAGUAUUCAAUUGUCAGAGGUGAAAUUCUUGGAUUUAUUGAAGACUAACUACUGCGAAAGCUAAUUUGUCCAAGGAUGUUUUACAUUAAUCAAGAACGAAAGUUAGGGGAUCGAAGACGAUCAGAUACCGUCGUAGUCUUAACCAUAAACCUAUGCCGACUAGGGAUCGGAUGAUGUUAAUUUUUAAUGUACUCUAUUCGGAC
This 520-nucleotide unclassified non-coding RNA is filed under the name uncultured Glomus. RNAcentral describes it as "SSU rRNA". It matches the Rfam family "Eukaryotic small subunit ribosomal RNA", at positions 569 to 1085 of the family's 1831-position model. Lineage: Eukaryota; Fungi; Glomeromycota; Glomeromycetes; Glomerales; Glomeraceae. The record is from RNAcentral.